UUUCACUUCUACUUUUUUUUUCUAAAUUUGGGUGUCCAUUAUUUAUGGUUUUUAAUCCAUGGCAUCGGUUUCAGCAACCAACAUGUCAACCGUUGAUCAAUUACAUGGAAGGUUAAGAUUGAAAGGGAAAUCUAGCUAGCCGCUACAACAUGUAACGGUUGAACUUUUAAAUAAGUCUCGUCCGCAUUAUUAAACUAUAGAUGUCAAAUUCAAUAUUUUUAAGAAGAAGAAGAAGAAGGGCAAGAAAACACACCAAAAUAUCGACAAUUGGGUCGCCGAUCUCUAGACAAAAUCACUCUACGAGCUCUCGGAUCUGAUCUAUAUUUUGGUAAUGAAAAAUGAAUAAAUAAAAUCUUUUACUUCCCAACUUAUCUGUUUUCUCACUCUCACUCUACAAUUUCUCUAUUCUCACCCUACGAUUUUCUCUCUCAAAUUCUAAUCUGUCUUCUUCUUCCUCAAAUUCUUUCUUAAUUCUUCUUUAAACUCUUGUUCUACUUCUCUUUUCCUUACACACACAUGCCCACGUGAUAAAAAUUGUUUUUAACACAUGUUUGUUUCUGCAAAAUACUCUCGUUAACAUGUAUUAGUG
This 589-nucleotide long non-coding RNA is filed under the name Panax ginseng (ginseng). RNAcentral's name for it is "long non-coding RNA (PGIN_LNC009188)". The record is from RNAcentral. Lineage: Eukaryota; Viridiplantae; Streptophyta; Magnoliopsida; Apiales; Araliaceae.